GGGCCCGCACAAGCAGUGGAGUAUGUGGUUUAAUUCGAAGCAACGCGAAGAACCUUACCAGGGCUUGACAUACAGUGGAAUAUGGUAGAGAUAUCAUAGCUCUUCGGAGCUGCUGAACAGGUGGUGCAUGGUUGUCGUCAGCUCGUGUCGUGAGAUGUUGGGUUAAGUCCCGCAACGAGCGCAACCCCUGUUGUUAGUUGCCAGCAUUAAGUUGGGCACUCUAGCAAGACUGCCGGUGACAAAUCGGAGGAAGGUGGGGACGACGUCAAAUCAUCAUGCCCCUUAUGUCCUGGGCUACACACGUACUACAAUGGCUAUUACAGCAGGAAGCGAAACGGUAACGUGGAGCAAAUCCUCAAAAAUAGUCCCAGUUCAGAUUGUGGGCUGAAACUCGCCCACAUGAAGUCGGAAUUGCUAGUAAUUGCAGGUCAGCAUACUGCAGUGAAUACGUUCCCGGGCCUU
RNAcentral lists this ribosomal RNA (462 nucleotides) under uncultured bacterium. Its description in RNAcentral is "bacterial SSU rRNA". It matches the Rfam family "Bacterial small subunit ribosomal RNA", at positions 917 to 1382 of the family's 1533-position model. The record is from RNAcentral.